GGACAGAUGGCCGAGCGGUCUAAGGCGCUACGUUCAGGCAUUCGUCCACCACGGACACCGCCCGCUUCGUAGUCUCGCAAGAGGCGUGGGUUCGAAUCCCACUCUGUUCA
Transfer RNA from Coniochaeta ligniaria NRRL 30616, 110 nucleotides. It matches the Rfam family "tRNA". Rfam says of the family: Transfer RNA (tRNA) molecules are approximately 80 nucleotides in length. Their secondary structure includes four short double-helical elements and three loops (D, anti-codon, and T loops). Further hydrogen bonds mediate the characteristic L-shaped molecular structure. tRNAs have two regions of fundamental functional importance: the anti-codon, which is responsible for specific mRNA codon recognition, and the 3' end, to which the tRNAs corresponding amino acid is attached (by aminoacyl-tRNA synthetases). tRNAs cope with the degeneracy of the genetic code in two manners: having more than one tRNA (with a specific anti-codon) for a particular amino acid; and 'wobble' base-pairing, i.e. permitting non-standard base-pairing at the 3rd anti-codon position. The record is from Rfam. NCBI's taxonomy places the organism in Eukaryota, Fungi, Ascomycota, Sordariomycetes, Coniochaetales, Coniochaetaceae.